RNAcentral lists this ribosomal RNA (426 nucleotides) under uncultured Bacillota bacterium. RNAcentral's name for it is "bacterial SSU rRNA". It matches the Rfam family "Bacterial small subunit ribosomal RNA", at positions 356 to 774 of the family's 1533-position model. The record is from RNAcentral. Lineage: Bacteria; Bacillati; Bacillota.
AGGGAAUUUUCGGCAAUGGGGGCAACCCUGACCGAGCAAUGCCGCGUGAACGACGAAGGUCUUCGGAUCGUAAAGUUCUGUGAUUGGGGAAGAACAGCAUGAUCAGGAAUUGGGUCAUGUUUGACGGUACCCGAUUAGAAAGCCCCGGCUAACUAUGUGCCAGCAGCCGCGGUAAAACAUAGGGGGCGAGCGUUAUCCGGAAUUAUUGGGCGUAAAGAGUACGUAGGCGGCCUCUUAAGUCUGAUGUGAAAUCCCGCGGCUUAACCGCGGAGGGUCAUUGGAAACUGGCAGGCUUGAGUACGGCAGGGGUAAGUGGAAUUCCAAGUGGAGCGGUGAAAUGCGUAGAUAUUUGGAGGAACACCAGUGGCGAAGGCGGCUUACUGGGCCGGAACUGACGCUGAGGUACGAAAGCGUGGGGAGCAAACA